GAUGAACGCUGGCGGCGUGCCUAAUACAUGCAAGUCGAGCGAACAGACGAGGAGCUUGCUCCUCUGACGUUAGCGGCGGACGGGUGAGUAACACGUGGAUAACCUACCUAUAAGACUGGUAUAACUUCGGGAAACCGGAGCUAAUACCGUAUAAUAUAUUGAACCGCAUGGUUCAAUAGUGAAAGACGGUUUUGCUGGCACUUAUAGAUGGAUCCGCGCCGCAUUAGCUAGUUGGUAAGGUAACGGCUUACCAAGGCGACGAUGCGUAGCCGACCUGAGAGGGUGAUCGGCCACAUGGGAACGGAGACACGGUCCAGACUCCUACGGGAGGGAGCAGUAGGGAAUCUUCCGCAAUGGGCGAAAGCCUGACGGAGCAACGCCGCGUGAGUGAUGAAGGUCUUCGGAUCGUAAAACUCUGUUAUUAGGGAAGAACAAAUGUGUAAGUAACUAUGCACGUCUUGACGGUACCUAAUCAGAAAGCCACGGCUAACUACGUG
Molecule: ribosomal RNA, 497 nt
Filed under: uncultured bacterium
Lineage: Bacteria
Description: partial 16S ribosomal RNA
Rfam family: Bacterial small subunit ribosomal RNA
Source: RNAcentral